This 674-nucleotide ribosomal RNA is filed under the name uncultured bacterium. RNAcentral describes it as "bacterial SSU rRNA". It matches the Rfam family "Bacterial small subunit ribosomal RNA", at positions 8 to 671 of the family's 1533-position model. The record is from RNAcentral.
AGGGUUUGAUCAUGGCUCAGAUUGAACGCUGGCGGCAGGCUUAACACAUGCAAGUCGAGCGGAAACGAUGAAAAGCUUGCUUUUCAGGCGUCGAGCGGCGGACGGGUGAGUAAUGCUUGGGAAUAUGCCUUGAGGUGGGGGACAACAGUUGGAAACGACUGCUAAUACCGCAUAAUGUCUACGGACCAAAGGAGGGGAUCUUCGGACCUUUCGCCUUUAGAUUAGCCCAAGUGAGAUUAGCUAGUAGGUAAGGUAAUGGCUUACCUAGGCGACGAUCUCUAGCUGGUUUGAGAGGAUGAUCAGCCACACUGGGACUGAGACACGGCCCAGACUCCUACGGGAGGCAGCAGUGGGGAAUAUUGCACAAUGGGGGAAACCCUGAUGCAGCCAUGCCGCGUGUGUGAAGAAGGCCUUCGGGUUGUAAAGCACUUUCAGUCGUGAGGAAAGGGUGUAAGUUAAUACCUUGCAUCUGUGACGUUAGCGACAGAAGAAGCACCGGCUAACUCCGUGCCAGCAGCCGCGGUAAUACGGAGGGUGCGAGCGUUAAUCGGAAUUACUGGGCGUAAAGCGUGCGUAGGCGGUUAUUUAAGUCAGAUGUGAAAUCCCGGGGCUCAACCUCGGAACUGCAUUUGAAACUGGAUAACUAGAGUAUUGUAGAGGGUGGUGGAAUUUCC